UGGGGAAUAUUGGACAAUGGGCGAAAGCCUGAUCCAGCCAUGCCGCGUGUGUGAAGAAGGUCUUCGGAUUGUAAAGCACUUUAAGUUGGGAGGAAGGGCAGUAAGCGAAUACCUUGCUGUUUUGACGUUACCGACAGAAUAAGCACCGGCUAACUCUGUGCCAGCAGCCGCGGUAAUACAGAGGGUGCAAGCGUUAAUCGGAAUUACUGGGCGUAAAGCGCGCGUAGGUGGUUCGUUAAGUUGAAUGUGAAAGCCCCGGGCUCAACCUGGGAACUGCUUCCAAAACUGGCGAGCUAGAGUAGGGCGGAGGGUGGUGGAAUUUCCUGUGUAGCGGUGAAAUGCGUAGAUAUAGGGAGGAACACCAGUGGCGAAGGCGACCACCUGGGCUCAUACUGACACUGAGGUGCGAAAGCGUGGGGAGCAAACAGG
Molecule: ribosomal RNA, 429 nt
Filed under: Pseudomonadota bacterium
Lineage: Bacteria; Pseudomonadati; Pseudomonadota
Description: Proteobacteria bacterium partial 16S ribosomal RNA
Rfam family: Bacterial small subunit ribosomal RNA
Source: RNAcentral